Epinephelus fuscoguttatus (brown-marbled grouper) is the source of this 2512-nucleotide long non-coding RNA. RefSeq lists it as uncharacterized. The record is from RefSeq and is a predicted model, not a curated record. Lineage: Eukaryota; Metazoa; Chordata; Actinopteri; Perciformes; Serranidae. The transcript has 3 exons.
CUGAGGUAUCAGCACCGGCCAGUGCUGGUAGCUGCCCAGCUCUAUGUAAUGGGCAGUCUUCAGCAGCUUCUGAGGCAUCUUCAGCAGCAUCUUGUGCUCGGCAGCUCCUCUGGUGCAAGGCAAGCUGGGGAGGCUGAGGUCAAAGGAAAGCCUGGUUGCCAUGUCUGGACUGCACUGCUGAUGUCUCCUUUCUGCCAUCACUCCAUUUAGUCUGGAAGAAACGAGACUAGCCCUCCUUCUGGCAUACAGGGCGAGAGAUAGAACAAUGAUUGGAGGAGACAUGCAGCAACUCUGCCUUCCAGUCCAACUGCUACACCCAAAAAGUAAGGCACAGAUCACAUAAUCCGAAACAGCCAUCCAUGAAAUAUCCAAGGGGGAUCCCUGGCUAGCACAGGAUUAAACAGAAUAGAUACAACUUGCUGACACAAUGACUUUGGUAUGUUAUUAUUGGAGUUGUUUACUGUCAUGACUUCAUCUUGCUUCAAAGUUGAAAUUAAAUGUACUGGGAAGCCACAGGCGGUCAUCACAUUGAAUUGCAGCGAACACAAUGAAAUAUAUAAUUACAGCAUUACACCACACACGAACUCCUGGAAUGUGUUGAUGAUAAACAUGUAAAGGUAUGAAAGACAAUUUUGCUUUCAACAUAUUCAAUGCUUAUGCCUGUAAACAUAAUAUAGUGUGCGUUUGAGGACGUGGUCAUGUUCCAGUGUUCAAAGGACAUGCUUGGAAGAAUCAGUAAGCUCAGUCCUUCCUCUUGAGACAAAGGAGUAAUUUCCUUUGGGGAUUCACAUUUUGGAUCGGACUCAUGCAAAGCAGCAAAUCACUCUGACAUACCAAGGGCGUUGUGUUAGCAUAUUCAAUUCUGCUUUCCAUCUGCAACAGAUUUACAGGAACACGAUGCACUUGUUUAUCAUGAACAGAAAAAAAGACAUCAGGCAAACAGUACAAAGUUAAUUUUGCUCAGUGAUUUAUGACUCAAUGAAAAAAUUACUGCAAUAAGCCACUGCUGGGUUGUUCAUUGACUGACUGUUAUUAAAUCUUGACACAUGGCACCCCCUAUAACGACACUUUUAACCUAUGAACAAAAGGGGAUUCAUUGUUUUAUAGGAGGGAUAUGGCUUCCUUUACUUCUGUUUUAAAACAUGGGGAUAUUUAUGCCUCACAUUCUUUCUUUUGUAGUUAUAAUUAGUCAGCUGAACCAUCAGUCUGUCAUUUUUUGUAUUGUUAUCUCAGUCAGUCGCGAUGCCAGCUGCUCUAGCUGCUGAAUGUCAAGUCUAGAUGGCAUCUGCCACACAGGAAGAUGAAUGAAUUUGCCUUCAAAAUAAAAGCCCGGUGGUGUGAGAUAUAGCAUAUAGGAAUAACAUUAGAUGAGAUUUUUUUUUUCAUUCUUUUAUCAUUCAUUCGUUUUCCGUAACAGCUUAUCCUGUUAGGGGUUGUGGAGGGCUGGAGCCUUUCCCAGCUGACAUUGGGCAAGAGGCAGGGUACACCCUGGACAGGUCGCCAGACUAUCACAGAGCUGACACACAGAGACAGACAACCACUCACACUCACAUUCAUAGGAAUAACGUUAAAUCAAAUAAAAUCUUUUCAUUCUUUAUUAUGUUGUUUUAUUUUGUAAGGGUGUAGGUUUCAUCUAAACAUGGCGGAGGGUUACACAUAUGAGACAAAGGAUUUGGGGAGCUGCCGUCAGAGAAUUUUGAUACUCAAAUACUUAAUUUCCUGCAUUCUGAUGAAAUAUAAUGCACCAAUUUGCGCCUUUUCUGCAUCAAGUUAUGGCAUAAAUGUCUUUAAUUGUGUCAAAAUAAAAGUCCUCCACAAUUUCACAUAUUUAAUGGGAGAGACAAACAGGUGUAUUGUAAAUAUGUACCCCAAAAUCUACACCUAUGUUAUUUUGACACCUAUGGUAUUUUGUAACAUAACAUGUAUUUAAUUAAAUUACAUAAUAGGAAUACAUUUAUGUAAUUGCUUUACAAACUACAGUUUAAGCUUUUUUUGUAUUUACUUUAUUCAUAGAUAGAUAGAUGGAUAAAUGGAUAGGUAGGUAGAUAGGUAGUCUCGCUCACCAGACCUUUCUCAAGAAAAGAAAGGUCUGGCUGGGCCAACUCUCACUUUGAGAUUGGAGAAAAAAAAACCCGGCUGCUUGUAUUUCUUUCAGCCAAUCACAAUCAUUCUGGGCGGUGCCACAGCAACAGUGCGCUUGCAAAAAUAUUGCCGGGGGGAAACAAGUUUUGGUGCAACACGCCCACAAAAAUAUCGCCUACAGGACGGAAACCAUGGCAGAAAAAUGGCUACAUCCCCACAAGAUCAAACACCGCAAAAGUUAGUAAAGGACGUGUUGAAAACUACAGCCGGAGGUGGUAGAGCAGGACUUCAGUGGCUGAUCUAUGCAGCGAACUUCCGCCCACUCAGACAAGUAGAUAGGUAGUUUGGUAGGUAGGUAGGUAGUUUGGUUGUUUGAUUGGUUGGUUGGUUGAUUGGUAGGUAGGUAGGUAGGUAGGUAGGUAGGUAGGUA